Molecule: transfer RNA, 74 nt
Filed under: Actinospica robiniae DSM 44927
Lineage: Bacteria; Bacillati; Actinomycetota; Actinomycetes; Catenulisporales; Actinospicaceae
Rfam family: tRNA
About the family: Transfer RNA (tRNA) molecules are approximately 80 nucleotides in length.
Source: Rfam by way of RNAcentral
GGGACCGUAGCCCAAUUGGUCGAGGCAACAGGUUUAGGUCCUGUCCAGUGUGGGUUCGAAUCCCAUCGGUCCCA